RNAcentral lists this ribosomal RNA (1153 nucleotides) under Escherichia coli. RNAcentral describes it as "partial 23S ribosomal RNA". It matches the Rfam family "Bacterial large subunit ribosomal RNA", at positions 687 to 1848 of the family's 2925-position model. Lineage: Bacteria; Pseudomonadati; Pseudomonadota; Gammaproteobacteria; Enterobacterales; Enterobacteriaceae. The record is from RNAcentral.
ACAGGGCGCCAAGUCGGGGGGGGUAGACGCGAAACCGAGUGAUCUACCCUUGGCCAGGUUGAAGGUUGGGUAACACCAACUGGAGGACCGGAUGGGUAAGCGUUGAAAAGCUUUCCAAUGAGCUGAGGGUAGGGGUGAAAGGCUAAUCAAACUCGGAGAUAGCUCGUACUCCCCGAAAUGCAUUUAGGUGCAGCCUCUUUAUAGUAUAUCGUGAGGUAGAGCGACUGAUUGGAUGCGAGGGCUUCACCGCCUAUCAAGUCCAGAUAAACUCCGAAUGCGCGAUAUAUAUUUACAGGGAGUGAGGGCGCGGGUGCUAAGGUCCGUGUCCGAGAGGAGAAGAAUCCAGACCACCGGCUAAGGCCCCCAAAUGAUCGUUAAGUUGAACUAACGAGGUCGGAUCGCAGAGACAGCUAGGAUGUUGGCUUGGAAGCAGCCAUUCAUUUAAAGAGUGCGUAACAGCUCACUAGUCGAGCGAUCUGGCGUGGAUAAUAAUCGGGCAUAAACGAUCUGCCGAAGCCGUGGAUGUCGCAAGACAUGGUAGGGGAGCAUUCCAUGCCGCGUCGAAGAUGAGGGAUGACCCUUGUUGGAGCGCAUGGAAAAGCAAAUGUAGGUAUGAGUAACGAUAAGGGGGGCGAGAAACCCCCCCGCCGAAAGACCAAGGUUUCCUGAUCAACGCUAAUCGGAUCAGGGUGAGUCGGGACCUAAGGCAAAGCCGAACGGCGCCGCCGAUGGAAGAAUGGGUUAAUAUUCCCAUACUGCCUCAUGGAGUGACGUGGAGACGGAGAAGUGACAGUCCUGCCGGCUGACGGAAUAGCCGGUUGAAGGGUGUAGAUAUUGAUUCCCGUAGGCAAAUCCGCGGGGAGAGUCGAACCUGAGAGUAUACGGAGCGCUUGCGCAACGUAAUAUGGACGUAACCAUGCUCCCGAGAAAAUCCGCUAAACUUAUCCAUGCGGCACCCGUACCGUAAACGGACACACGUGGUCGGGUUGAGAAUACUGAGGCGCUCGAGUGAUUCACGGUUAAGGAACUAGGCAAAUUGACCCUGUAACUUCGGGAUAAAGGGUCCUCGUCGUAAGGCGAGGCGCAGAGAAUAGGUCCAGGCAACUGUUUAACAAAAACACAUGGCUGUGCUAAAUGGAAACAUGAUGUAUAC